RNAcentral lists this ribosomal RNA (356 nucleotides) under uncultured bacterium. RNAcentral's name for it is "partial 16S ribosomal RNA". It matches the Rfam family "Bacterial small subunit ribosomal RNA", at positions 338 to 710 of the family's 1533-position model. The record is from RNAcentral.
CCUACGGGAGGCAGCAGUGGGGAAUAUUGCACAAUGGGGGAAACCCUGAUGCAGCAACGCCGCGUGAGUGAAGAAGGAUUUCGGUAUGUAAAGCCCUAUCAGCCGGGAAGCAGAAAGACGGUACCUGACUAAGACGCCCCGGCGAACUACGUGCCAGCAGCCGCGGUAAUACGGAGGGGGCAAGCGUUAUCCGGAUUUACUGGGUGUAAAGGGAGGUUAGACGGCUGUGCAAGUCUGAAGUGAAAGCCCGUGGCUCAACCGCGGAACUGCUUUGGAAACUGUAUAGCUUGAGUACUGGAGAGGCAGGCGGAAUGCCUGGUGUAGCGGUGAAAUGCGUAGAUAUUAGGAGGAACACC